Molecule: ribosomal RNA, 253 nt
Filed under: uncultured bacterium
Lineage: Bacteria
Description: partial 16S ribosomal RNA
Rfam family: Bacterial small subunit ribosomal RNA
Source: RNAcentral
UACGUAGGGGGCAAGCGUUGUCCGGAAUCAUUGGGCGUAAAGCGCGUGUAGGCGGUUCGGUAAGUCGGCUGUGAAAGUCCAGGGCUCAACCCUGGGAUGCCGGUCGAUACUGCCGGACUAGAGUUCGGAAGAGGCGAGUGGAAUUCCCGGUGUAGCGGUGAAAUGCGCAGAUAUCGGGAGGAACACCAAUGGCGAAGGCAGCUCGCUGGGACGUUACUGACGCUGAGACGCGAAAGCAUGGGGAGCGAACAGG